This 702-nucleotide ribosomal RNA is filed under the name fungal sp. Its description in RNAcentral is "eukaryotic LSU rRNA". The stretch from base 480 to 702 matches the Rfam family "Eukaryotic large subunit ribosomal RNA", at positions 1 to 227 of the family's 3401-position model. Lineage: Eukaryota; Fungi. The record is from RNAcentral.
UUACCGAGUUUACAACUCCCAAACCCCUGUGAACAUACCUUAAUGUUGCCUCGGCGGAUCAGCCCGCGCCCCGUAAAACGGGACGGCCCGCCAGAGGACCCAAACUCUAAUGUUUCUUAUUGUAACUUCUGAGUAAAACAAACAAAUAAAUCAAAACUUUCAACAACGGAUCUCUUGGUUCUGGCAUCGAUGAAGAACGCAGCAAAAUGCGAUAAGUAAUGUGAAUUGCAGAAUUCAGUGAAUCAUCGAAUCUUUGAACGCACAUUGCGCCCGCUGGUAUUCCGGCGGGCAUGCCUGUUCGAGCGUCAUUUCAACCCUCAAGCCCCCGGGUUUGGUGUUGGGGAUCGGCUCUGCCCUUCUGGGCGGUGCCGCCCCCGAAAUACAUUGGCGGUCUCGCUGCAGCCUCCAUUGCGUAGUAGCUAACACCUCGCAACUGGAACGCGGCGCGGCCAUGCCGUAAAACCCCAACUUCUGAAUGUUGACCUCGGAUCAGGUAGGAAUACCCGCUGAACUUAAGCAUAUCAAUAAGCGGAGGAAAAGAAACCAACAGGGAUUGCCCUAGUAACGGCGAGUGAAGCGGCAACAGCUCAAAUUUGAAAUCUGGCUUUCGGGCCCGAGUUGUAAUUUGUAGAGGAUACUUUUGAUGCGGUGCCUUCCGAGUUCCCUGGAACGGGACGCCAUAGAGGGUGAGAGCCCCGUCUG